Molecule: ribosomal RNA, 426 nt
Filed under: uncultured eukaryote
Lineage: Eukaryota
Description: bacterial SSU rRNA
Rfam family: Eukaryotic small subunit ribosomal RNA
Source: RNAcentral
CAAUAGCGUAUAUUAAAGUUGUUGCGGUUAAAAAGCUCGUAGUUGGAUUUCUGCCGAGGACGACCGGUCCGCCCUCUGGGUGAGUAUCUGGCUUGGCCUGGGCAUCUUCUUGGAGAACGUAGCUGCACUUGACUGUGUGGUGCGGUAUCCAGGACUUUUACUUUGAGGAAAUUAGAGUGUUUCAAGCAGGCAUGCGCCUUGAAUACAUUAGCAUGGAAUAAUAAUCUAGGACUUCGGUUUUAUUUUGUUUGGUUUCUUAACACUGAAGUAAUGAUUGAUAGGGAGUAGUUGGGGGUGGCUAGUAUUGGCCGGCCAGAGGUGAAAUUACUUGGAUUCGGUCAAGACUAACUUAUGCGAAGACAUUCACCAAGGAUGUCUUCUUUAAUUCAAGAACGAAAGUUGGGGGAUCGAAGACGAUCAGAUACC